Molecule: non-coding RNA, 116 nt
Organism: Acanthosepion pharaonis
Lineage: Eukaryota; Metazoa; Mollusca; Cephalopoda; Sepiida; Sepiidae
Source: the annotation of a GenBank genome assembly
UUACGGUCAAAUCACGCUGAAAACACCGGUUCUCGUUCGAUCACCGAAGUUAAGCAUCGUAGAGCCAGGUCCGCUUACUUAGAUGGGGACCGCUUGGGAACACCUGGUACUGUAAG